ACACCGAAUGCUUGCAUUCACCGUAAGAAGUUGAGUGGCGGACGGGUGAGUAACACGUGGGUAACCUGCCUAAAAGAAGGGGAUAACACUUGGAAACAGGUGCUAAUACCGUAUAUCUCUAAGGAUCGCAUGAUCCUUAGAUGAAAGAUGGUUCUGCUAUCGCUUUUAGAUGGACCCGCGGCGUAUUAACUAGUUGGUGGGGUAACGGCCUACCAAGGUGAUGAUACGUAGCCGAACUGAGAGGUUGAUCGGCCACAUUGGGACUGAGACACGGCCCAAACUCCUACGGGAGGCAGCAGUAGGGAAUCUUCCACAAUGGACGCAAGUCUGAUGGAGCAACGCCGCGUGAGUGAAGAAGGUCUUCGGAUCGUAAAACUCUGUUGUUAGAGAAGAACACGAGUGAGAGUAACUGUUCAUUCGAUGACGGUAUCUAACCAGCAAGUCACGGCUAACUACGUGCCAGCAGCCGCGGUAAUACGUAGGUGGCAAGCGUUGUCCGGAUUUAUUGGGCGUAAAGGGAACGCAGGCGGUCUUUUAAGUCUGAUGUGAAAGCCUUCGGCUUAACCGGAGUAGUGCAUUGGAAACUGGAAGACUUGAGUGCAGAAGAGGAGAGUGGAACUCCAUGUGUAGCGGUGAAAUGCGUAGAUAUAUGGAAGAACACCAGUGGCGAAAGCGGCUCUCUGGUCUGUAACUGACGCUGAGGUUCGAAAGCGUGGGUAGCAAACAGGAUUAGAUACCCUGGUAGUCCACGCCGUAAACGAUGAAUGCUAGGUGUUGGAGGGUUUCCGCCCUUCAGUGCCGCAGCUAACGCAAUAAGCAUUCCGCCUGGGGAGUACGACCGCAAGGUUGAAACUCAAAGGAAUUGACGGGGGCCCGCACAAGCGGUGGAGCAUGUGGUUUAAUUCGAAGCAACGCGAAGAACCUUACCAGGUCUUGACAUCCUUUUGACCACCUAAGAAGAUUAGGCUUUCCCUUCGGGGACAAAGUGACAGGGGGGUGCAUGGCCUGUCGUCAGCUCGUGUCGUGAGAUGUUGGGUUAAGUCCCGCAACGAGCGCAACCCUUGUUGUCAGUUGCCAGCAUUAAGUUGGGCACUCUGGCGAGACUGCCGGUGACAAACCGGAGGAAGGUGGGGACGACGUCAAGUCAUCAUGCCCCUUAUGACCUGGGCUACACACGUGCUACAAUGGACGGUACAACGAGUCGCAAGACCGCGAGGUUUAGCUAAUCUCUUAAAGCCGUUCUCAGUUCGGAUUGUAGGCUGCAACUCGCCUACAUGAAGUCGGAAUCGCUAGUAAUCGCGAAUCAGCAUGUCGCGGUGAAUACGUUCCCGGGCCUUGUACACACCGCCCGUCACACCAUGAGAGUUUGUAACACCCAAAGCCGGUGG
Molecule: ribosomal RNA, 1388 nt
Filed under: Ligilactobacillus salivarius
Lineage: Bacteria; Bacillati; Bacillota; Bacilli; Lactobacillales; Lactobacillaceae
Description: bacterial SSU rRNA
Rfam family: Bacterial small subunit ribosomal RNA
Source: RNAcentral